Lolium perenne is the source of this 569-nucleotide long non-coding RNA. RefSeq lists it as uncharacterized. The record is from RefSeq and is a predicted model, not a curated record. Lineage: Eukaryota; Viridiplantae; Streptophyta; Magnoliopsida; Poales; Poaceae.
UUUCUUCUCCCACCCUGGCCGAACGAAUGGCUCCAUCGCUCCACCACCAACGCUGAAGCUGCGCAGGACCACAGAGCUCACGCCGCGCCGAGACUAGCAGGGGCAGCUCUCCACUAGGCCAGAUACGACUGAGCCACCGUCGGAGACCAAAUAGUUGUUUCUCCGCGUCCUCCAAGCCGAUCCCAGGCCCCACUAUGCGGUCGGUGCGGCAGGUGCGAGAUCUCGAUCUGGCCGUGGCGACAGGCUAGGCGGCAGGAGCGUCGUCGGGUAGGCUCCGCGUUGUUUGUUGAUGAAGACAUACAUCACGUCGCGAGAUGGGUACAACAGUGUUGAGGCUGUGCCGAUUGCAGUUAUUUCGGAAGAAGUGACUACCGAGCUGGUCGUGUUCGGCUUGAAUUAUACUCCAUAGAUCCUUUUUGUCAGUUCCCAGCUGAUAAAGUUGCGUGAUUGUACUGGCUCUUUUUCUGAAUUCAUUCCGCGAGCACACGAGCACAUCAGAGCUGUCUUCAUCUGUAAUCGGCUGAUCAAACAUUUUUUUUGUGUGUGCAAUUGGUAAUCUGCCUAACUAA